AAUAUUCACAAACCCAUAUCACUUAAAACCUGUUUUUGGUUGGGGCGACCAUGAAGAACAAUACAACCCUCAUAAGGAAUGAAACUCCUAAAACACGAACGACAGUUCUAAUUAACAGAAUUUCUGACCAUCAAGACCCAGUACAACUGAUUAAUGAACCAAGUUACCCUAGGGAUAACAGCGCAAUUUUCUUCAAUAGCCCCUAUCGACAAGAAAGUUUACGACCUCGAUGUUGGAUCAGGACAUCCUAACAGUGCAACCGCAGUUAAGGGUUUGUUUGUUCAACGAUUAAAGUCCUACGUGAUCUGAGUUCAGACCGAAGCAAUUCAGGUCAGUUUAUAUCUAUAACUUGCUUUUCUUCAGUACGAAAGGACCAAAUAAAGAAGGCCAAUAAAACAUUUAAGCCCUAUCCCUAAACACUUAUUUAACCUAAAAUGCAAUCAAACACAA
Molecule: long non-coding RNA, 450 nt
Organism: Thalassophryne amazonica
Lineage: Eukaryota; Metazoa; Chordata; Actinopteri; Batrachoidiformes; Batrachoididae
Exons: 3
Source: RefSeq, a predicted model, not a curated record